Molecule: ribosomal RNA, 626 nt
Filed under: uncultured bacterium
Lineage: Bacteria
Description: bacterial SSU rRNA
Rfam family: Bacterial small subunit ribosomal RNA (bases 1-539)
Source: RNAcentral
CCUACGGGAGGCAGCAGUCGGGAAUUUUGGGCAAUGGGCGAAAGCCUGACCCAGCAACGCCGCGUGAAGGAUGAAAUCCCUCGGGAUGUAAACUUCGCAAGAUUGGGAAGAAUUAGUAGGGGUUAAUACCCUCUAUGAUGACGGUACCUUUUGUAAGCUCCGGCUAACUCCGUGCCAGCAGCCGCGGUAAUACGGGGGGAGCAAGCGUUGUUCGGAUUUACUGGGCGUAAAGGGCGCGUAGGCGGUCAGCACAAGUCAGUUGUGAAAUCUCCGGGCUUAACUCGGAAAGGUCAACUGAUACUGUGCGACUAGAGUGCAGAAGGGGCAACUGGAAUUCUCGGUGUAGCGGUGAAAUGCGUAGAUAUCGAGAGGAACACCUGCGGCGAAGGCGGGUUGCUGGGCUGACACUGACGCUGAGGCGCGAAAGCCAGGGGAGCGAACGGGAUUAGAUACCCCGGUAGUCCUGGCCUUAAACGAUGGAUGCUUGGUGUCUGGAGUUUUAUAGUCUCCGGGUGCCGCNGCUACGCGUAGCNUCCGCCGUCGGGAGGUACGGUCGCGAGACUGAACGUACAAGUAGAGUUAGACGGCGUGAGACGUGCCGACGGACGACGACGAGGGAGGUUAGG